Long non-coding RNA from Homo sapiens (human), 555 nucleotides. Ensembl annotates it as zinc finger protein 542, pseudogene. Its record names the gene ZNF542P. The record is from Ensembl. NCBI's taxonomy places the organism in Eukaryota, Metazoa, Chordata, Mammalia, Primates, Hominidae.
ACUCACGCCUACGUACUCAGUCACCAGCGGAACCCUCUCCACCAGGCUCCGCGUCGAGGCCCUACGGGGCGUCAAUACGCACGCGUACUUUGUGUCCCAGCUCUGCAUUUCCAGGACCUGGUCACUAUUCAGGACACGGUUCCAGCGCAGUGCGCGUUAGCCAUGUCUCAGCUCCAGACUGAGAGGACGCAGCAUAGAAAAUGCUUAUGAGUGGUUCAGACUCAGUAAUGGGAUGAGUGACAUUCCAAGAUGUGGCCAUUGACUUCUCCAAGGAAGAGUGGGGAUUCCUGAACCCUGCUCAGAGAGAUUUGUACACAACUGUGAUGCUGGAGAAUUAUCAGAACCUGGUCUGGCUGGGACUUUCCAUUUCUAAAUCUGUGAUUUCACUGUUGGAGAAAAGGAAACUGCCUUGGAUAAUGGCAAAAGAAGAGAUAAGAGGCCCAUUGCCAGAUGUGCCAGGUGCAGAGAUUAAGGAGUUAUCUGCAAAGAGGGCUAUUAAUGAAGUAUUAUCGCAGUUUGACACAGUGAUAAAAUGUACAAGAAACGUAUGUAAGG